GUGUCAGCAGCCGCGGUAAGACGAACCGAGCGAACGUUAUUCGGAAUUACUGGGCUUAAAGGGUGCGUAGGCGGCGUGGAAAGUGGGGUGUGAAAGCCCUCAGCUUAACUGAGGAAUUGCGUCCCAAACUACCAUGCUCGAGGGAGACAGAGGUCAGUGGAACUUCGGGUGGAGCGGUGAAAUGUGUUGAUAUCCGAAGGAACACCGGUGGCGAAAGCGACUGACUGGGUCUUUUCUGACGCUGAGGCACGAAAGCUAGGGUAGCGAACGGGAUUAGAUACCCCGGUAGUCC
This 292-nucleotide ribosomal RNA is filed under the name uncultured bacterium. RNAcentral's name for it is "partial 16S ribosomal RNA". It matches the Rfam family "Bacterial small subunit ribosomal RNA", at positions 505 to 796 of the family's 1533-position model. The record is from RNAcentral.